AGGACAGGUGAGGAGCUGAGAUGGGGAACAAAUUUGAACAUCAGAUCCAUCAAACCAAAGGCAAAUUCCAAUUCAUCCAGUGCACAGUGGAGCUGGCCUGGGGCUGCAUUACAUAAGACCACAGCAGGCUGACUGCAGAAGCAGAUGUGAGAACACAGCUGUCUGCUGGUGAGCCAGAUGAUAAAGCCAUUUAGAUAAUGUAAAACAGUGCCACUCUUCUCACUAAAUUUUUUUUCAAAAUACAGUUUUUGUUU
Molecule: long non-coding RNA, 254 nt
Organism: Phyllostomus discolor (pale spear-nosed bat)
Lineage: Eukaryota; Metazoa; Chordata; Mammalia; Chiroptera; Phyllostomidae
Exons: 2
Source: RefSeq, a predicted model, not a curated record